Molecule: ribosomal RNA, 572 nt
Filed under: Arxiozyma pintolopesii
Lineage: Eukaryota; Fungi; Ascomycota; Saccharomycetes; Saccharomycetales; Saccharomycetaceae
Description: Kazachstania pintolopesii partial large subunit ribosomal RNA
Rfam family: Eukaryotic large subunit ribosomal RNA
Source: RNAcentral
AAACCAACCGGGAUUGCCUCAGUAGCGGCGAGUGAAGCGGCAAGAGCUCAAAUUUGAAAUCUAGCGCCUUCGGUGCUCGAGUUGUAAUUUGUAGAGUGGAUCCUUGGGGCUGCUCCUUGCCUAUGUUCCUUGGAACAGGACGUCAUGGAGGGUGAGAACCCCGUGUGGCGAGGGGUGCGGCUCCGUGUAAGGGCUGCUCGAAGAGUCGAGUUGUUUGGGAAUGCAGCUCUAAGUGGGUGGUAAAUUCCAUCUAAAGCUAAAUACUGGCGAGAGACCGAUAGCGAACAAGUACAGUGAUGGAAAGAUGAAAAGAACUUUGAAAAGAGAGUGAAAAAGUACGUGAAAUUGUUGAAAGGGAAGGGCAUUUGAUCAGACAUGGUGUUUUGCGCCCCCUGCUCCUUGUGGGCGGGGGACUCUCGCAGCUCACUGGGCCAGCAUCAGUUUUUGCGGCCGGACAAAGCCGGAGGAAUGUGGCUUCCCUCGGGAAGUGUUAUAGCCUACGGGAACGCGGCCAGCGGGGACUGAGGAACGCGACUUUUGUCAAGGAUGCUGGCAUAAUGGUUAUAUGCCGC